RNAcentral lists this ribosomal RNA (489 nucleotides) under uncultured soil bacterium. RNAcentral's name for it is "bacterial SSU rRNA". It matches the Rfam family "Bacterial small subunit ribosomal RNA", at positions 26 to 517 of the family's 1533-position model. The record is from RNAcentral.
AGAUUGAACGCUAGCGGGAUGCUUUACACAUGCAAGUCGAACGGCAGCGCGGACUUCGGUCUGGCGGCGAGUGGCGAACGGGUGAGUAAUAUAUCGGAACGUGCCCAGUAGCGGGGGAUAACUACGCGAAAGCGUGGCUAAUACCGCAUACGCCCUACGGGGGAAAGGGGGGAUCGCAAGACCUCUCACUAUUGGAGCGGCCGAUAUCAGAUUAGCUAGUUGGUGAGGUAAAGGCUCACCAAGGCGACGAUCUGUAGCUGGUUUGAGAGGACGACCAGCCACACUGGGACUGAGACACGGCCCAGACUCCUACGGGAGGCAGCAGUGGGAAUUUGGACAAUGGGGGAAACCUGAUCCAGCCAUCCCGCGUGUGCGAUGAAGGCCUUCGGGUUGUAAAGCACUUUUGCAGGAAGAACGGCGUUAGACUAAUAUUCAGCGUCACUGACGUACUGCAGAAUAAGACACCGGCUAACUACGUGCCAGCAGCCG